UUAUGGUCAAAUCACGCUGAAACACCGGUUCUCGUACGAUCACCGAAGUUAAGCAGCGUAGAGCCAGGUCAGUACUUAGAUGGGGGACCGCUUGGGAACACCUGGUACUGUAAG
RNAcentral lists this ribosomal RNA (114 nucleotides) under Acanthosepion pharaonis. Lineage: Eukaryota; Metazoa; Mollusca; Cephalopoda; Sepiida; Sepiidae. The record is from RNAcentral.